GAUCAUUAUAGAGUUAAUGGAUUUUAUAUCCAAAACUCCCACCCUUGAUUAUAAGAUUUUGUUGCUUUGGCAAACCAACUUUUUAUAAGUUGCUGGCUUUUUUAGCUAGAUAGUGUUUGCCAGAGAAAAUUUUAAAAAUUCUUUUUUUAAAUGAAUCUGAUUUUAAUAAAAAAUAAAUAAAACUUUCAACAACGGAUCUCUUGGUUCUGGCAUCGAUGAAGAACGCAGCGAAAUGCGAUAAGUAAUGUGAAUUGCAGAAUUCAGUGAAUCAUCGAAUCUUUGAACGCACAUUGCGCCCUUUGGUAUUCCGAAGGGCAUGCCUGUUCGAGCGUCAUUUUAAUCAUCAAGUUUAACUUGGUAUUGGAUUUGGUUUAUAUUUACCUAUCCAUAACUCUUNGGCGAGUUUCUUAAUUUUCGACGUAGCAAAACUUCGUUAUGGAAAUAAAGUUUACUUCGCCCUAAAAAAAAUUAUUUUUAAAUUUUGACCUCGGAUCAGGUAGGAGUACCCGCUGAACUUAAGCAUAUCAAUAAGCGGAGGAAAAGAAACCAACAGGGAUUGCCUCAGUAACGGCGAGUGAAGCGGCAAAAGCUCAAAUUUGAAAUCUGGCGUAAGCCCGAAUUGUAAUUUGAAGAGGAUGUUCUGAAAAUAUUUUUGGUCCAAGUUCCUUGGAACAGGACGUCGUARAGGGUGAGAAUCCCGUACGUGGCCAAAUGAUAUUUUCGUGUAGAACUCCUUCAACGAGUCGAGUUGUUUGGGAAUGCAGCUCUAAAUGGGAGGUAAAUUUCUCCUAAGGCUAAAUACCGGCCAGAGACCGAUAGCGCACAAGUAGAGUGAUCGAAAGAUGAAAAGCACUUUGAAAAGAGAGUUAAAAAGUACGUGAAAUUGUUGAAAGGGAAGCGUUUAUGGCCAGACUUGACAGUAGUUGUUCAACCGGUCUUUGACCGGUGCAUUCUUCUAUUGACAGGCCAGCGUCAGUUUUAACGGUUGGAUAAAGUCUUAAGGAAUGUGGCUCUUCGGAGUGUUAUAGCCUUUUGAAUAAUGCAACCCAGUUGAGACUGAGGGAAAGCGAUUCUG
Molecule: ribosomal RNA, 1075 nt
Filed under: uncultured fungus
Lineage: Eukaryota; Fungi
Description: eukaryotic LSU rRNA
Rfam family: Eukaryotic large subunit ribosomal RNA (bases 483-1075)
Source: RNAcentral